UACGUAGGGGGCGAGCGUUGUCCGAAGUUACUGGGCGUAAAGCGCGCGUAGGCGGGUCAUUAAGUGAGAAGUGAAAGGCUGGGGCUCAACCGCAGCAGGGCUUCUCAUACUGGUGAUCUUGAGGGCGGUAGGGAGAAGUGGAAUGGCUGGUGUAGCGGUGAAAUGCGUAGAUAUCAGUCGGAACACCGGUGGCGAAGGCGGCUUCUUGGGCCGUUCCUGACGCUGAGGCGCGAAAGCCAGGGGAGCGAACGGG
RNAcentral lists this ribosomal RNA (253 nucleotides) under uncultured Armatimonadota bacterium. RNAcentral describes it as "uncultured Armatimonadetes bacterium partial 16S ribosomal RNA". It matches the Rfam family "Bacterial small subunit ribosomal RNA", at positions 524 to 776 of the family's 1533-position model. Lineage: Bacteria; Bacillati; Armatimonadota. The record is from RNAcentral.